RNAcentral lists this ribosomal RNA (303 nucleotides) under uncultured bacterium. Its description in RNAcentral is "partial 16S ribosomal RNA". It matches the Rfam family "Bacterial small subunit ribosomal RNA", at positions 507 to 807 of the family's 1533-position model. The record is from RNAcentral.
AGCAGUAGCCGCGGUAAUACGUAGGGUGCAAGCGUUAAUCGGAAUUACUGGGCGUAAAGCGUGCGCAGGCGGUUAUAUAAGACAGAUGUGAAAUCCCCGGGCUCAACCUGGGAACUGCAUUUGUGACUGUAUAGCUAGAGUACGGCAGAGGGGGAUGGAAUUCCGCGUGUAGCAGUGAAAUGCGUAGAUAUGCGGAGGAACACCGAUGGCGAAGGCAAUCCCCUGGGCCUGUACUGACGCUCAUGCACGAAAGCGUGGGGAGCAAACAGGAUUAGAGACCCCAGUAGUCCCUGUCUCUUAUAC